UCAGUAAGCCUCACCAAACUGCCACAUCCUGUCUUUCCUUCCUUCUCCCUCUCCCUUGUGCCUCUCCACCACUGAUUCCUCUCUCUCUCUCUUUCAGCUGCUUGUGGUGAGAAUUUAGCAUUGCCAUGAUGACGCUCCAAACACACACUGAUCUGAGGAAUGCAUUUGUUGCCUGCACUGUGGUGAUGAACACCAGGAGCCACUAAUGGAUAGAUAAACAGCUGCUAACCCCCAGAGCAAGCCCUGUCCUGAAUACUCACUAACUCCAGGAAUCAUCCAAGUACCUCCUUUCUAACUGCCUGCAGGGGCGCUGUGACUCCAGCCUCUUCUCUCCCUUCAGCGUCAGUCCUAAUCUGAACCAAUGCUUAAUGGCUAUGCUAAUCACCCUGGAAGGACGGUUCUUGGUGUUCUCUCCAGUUAAAUCACUGCCGUGUCCAAAGUCAAUCUUGUGAAGUCAAUAUGAAGUCAAGU
Molecule: long non-coding RNA, 471 nt
Organism: Bos indicus x Bos taurus (hybrid cattle)
Lineage: Eukaryota; Metazoa; Chordata; Mammalia; Artiodactyla; Bovidae
Source: Ensembl